RNAcentral lists this long non-coding RNA (23127 nucleotides) under Manihot esculenta (cassava). RNAcentral's name for it is "long non-coding RNA (MESC_LNC011138)". Lineage: Eukaryota; Viridiplantae; Streptophyta; Magnoliopsida; Malpighiales; Euphorbiaceae. The record is from RNAcentral.
UUUUUACUUUAAUUUUAGUUUCAUUCCAGUUUAAAUUUUAAUUGUUCACUUUUUCAUCGUUCACUAUGACAAUUUAUUGAAAUGCAAAUCGGACUUGUCACGCGACUAGCCAUAUCUUUUCCAACCGGACCUGGCUCACCCGAAGUACGCCGCAGAACCUCCUCUCCGCCUCUUGCAGCGCGUCGGACUACCAAGGGAACCUCAGUGACACCGUCGACCAUUUCAGAGCUGCUAUGGAGCCAAUCGAUUCGACAAGCUGAGGAAUUCACGGCCAAGGCGCCCAUUCUUGACCCGAAGACACAAAAUCACAGAUGCUCCUCACCUAAGAUUUGCAUUGGUUGCAGCCUCCACCCCUGUUCCAGAUUUUUCAUAGAUCAAUUUUGGUUUAUUGGGGUUUGAUCCUUGAUGAAAUUUUUGGUUUAUUGGGGUUUGAUCCUUGAUGAAAUUUCUAUUCCUCUAGGUUGUUUAGAUGUAUAUAAUCUUGUAUUAAGUACUUCCAUUGAUUAAUUCAGUUGAGAUGCUUGUGUUUGGAUGUUACAUAGUUUCAACCAAUUCUUAUGACCUCCUCAAUUUUACUUGUAAGAGCUGCUAGGAGUUUUAUUUUCUUGAAAAUUGAUUAAAUCCUCAAGACCUCUAAGUUGGUAUACAAAUGGAAAGUUGGCAACACUCUUAAGAAGCUCCGGGAUCGCAAGCUUUAUUAUCCUUCUUUCAAGUUUCAUCCCUUCAGAAUCUCACCGAAAUUACUUAGCAUUUUGUCUUUUCAAAUUAGUUGUUUCUUUUUAAUUUACUAAAAAUUGUUUCUUCUCUGCAAUCUGCAUUUUAUAUGUGUUUUUAGCUAUUUACUAAGAACUGGAUAUAUGUAGAAGUUUAACCAAGUUUCAGUAAUUCAGUUUUAACUGCUUCUGUUAAUAGCUUCCAUUAAUAGCAUUAAUUUGUUAGAUUUCUGUUAUAAGUUUGUUAGUUGUGAAGUUAGUUAGCUUUUAGUAAGAAGCUAAAUUAAUUUUCCCACCAAUGUUAGAUGAUGAGCUGACAACUCAAUUCUUUACUUGUAUAAAUACCUCACUUAUACAUCUUCUCAUUCAUGAAUUGAAUAUAGAAUUUUUCUCUUAAUAUGGUAUCAAAGCAAUAAGACUCCUGAUCGAGAACUUUCUUUAUUGACAGUUAUUUUUUUUCUUUUUUCUUUCUAAAUUUCUCUACAAUUUUCUUGAUCUUUUCAUUUUUCAUCAUUUUUCAUACUGAUCCUAUGAAGAUGACUACUAAUCCUACUGCUAAAGUUGUUGAAUCAUCAUCUAAUUACAUCUAAAUCUAAGGUAGACACAGUUAUUUUUCUUCUUUUUUCUUCCUAAAUUUCUCUGCAAUUUCCUUGAUCUUCUUCAUUUUUCAUCAUUUUUCAUACUGAUCCUACGAAAAUGACUACUAAUCCUACUGUUCAAGUUGUUGAAUCAUCUAAUACAGAUCUAAUUACAUCUAAAUUUGAGAUUGAUCUGCUGAAUUCUGAUUCCCCAAGUUAGAUUCUAGUAAGUACUCCUUUGACUGAAUUCAAUUACCUCUCUUGGAACAGAUCCAUGAUAAUUGCUUUGACCGCAAAAGAUAAAAUAGGAUUCAUAAAUGGAAUAUGUAAGAAUUUAAUUUUUCAUAUAGUCCACUAUGAAAAUUUAUUAAAAUGCAAAUAGAAUUUACGAAUAGGUAUAAAUUCAUUUAUAAAUGUUAUUUCACAAAAUCCACAAUGAGUUUUUAAUGGUUUAAUAAAUAGAUUAAAUGGUCCAUGCCGUUAAUAUGUUAAUUGAAUAUUUAGCGGUACAAAUUACUUGAAAGUUAAUAUAAUGAAAAACUCUAAUACCCAAAAUACUUAUGGCACUUGGAGAGAGAAGUAAGAGCAUUUCCCUACAUCAUUAUCUGUCCAAAGAGAGUGCGACAGAGCAAUAAGAGAAAACAUCCAUUUCUUUAAAAGUUUUAAAUUUGGUUGCACAAAAAUAGAAUGGAGCUUUUGGAAUUAGAGGAACACUUGUAUUUUGGAGGGCAAACUCAAAGCAGCAAUAUAGUGAUUAAUAUGGCUUUGAAAAGAAGAUAUCUCAACGUCAAUUAGACUAUAUAUGAGUCCUACAAAGGUUUUUAUGUUUUACUUCUAUUUAGAUUGUAAAGGAGAGACAGUUUGGUUUCAAAAAGUGGUUUGUUUAGAGAUCACGUAGGCAACUAGUUAUAGGGUUUUGCUAUUGCUUUUCUCAUACAAAAUUAAAUAUAAAAGAAAGUUUCUUGUUAAUAAUCACAAAUAUUUUCUCUAUGCUAUAAAAUCCCAGUAUCAUAUAAUACAUCGUCAAGGAACAUGCUAUUUUAACGAUUCAAGCGGAGUAGGGAGCGAAAUGCUAGAAGGAAAAGCUACGGUGAAGGAAGUAAAUGCCCAUAGAAAUAUACACUUCUCCAUAUUCAGUUUAGUAUUCUAGUUAUAAAUGUCACAAAUUGAAAAGAUUUGAUUUUAUUAUUCAAAAUUUAAAAUUUUGAAUAUAAAUAUAAAUUAAUGUAAAUAUUUGGAUUAUUUAUCAUUCUGCGAACUCUUCCAUUUAAUUUUACAAACAGAUUUUAUAUCCGUUUACAAAUCCAAACAUAUCCAUUUAAUUUUACCAGCGGAUUGCUUAUCCUUUUGCGAAUUAGUUUGUAUUUAUUUAAUUUUACAAACGGAUUAAAAUCUAUUUGCCAAUCAAUUUGUAUCCAUUUAAUUUUACAAAUUAUACAUUCCUUUGUGAUCAUUUUAUAUCCAUUUAAUUUUACAAAUUAUACAUUCCUUUGUGAUCAUUUUAUAUCCAUUUAAUUUUAUAAAUAUAUUCUAUGUUCAUUUGUAUCCAUUUAAUUUUAUAAAUGGAUUAUACAGUCAUUUACGAAUUAGUUUGUAUUUAUUUAAUUUUACAAACAGAUUAUGCGUCCGUUUGCAAAUCACUGUGUUCAUUUAAUUUUAUUAAUGGAUUACAUGUCUAUUUGUGAAUCAGUUUGUAUCGAUUUAAUUUUACAAAUAGGUUAUAUAUCCAUUUGAAAAUAAGUUUGUUUCCUUUAAUUUUAUAAACGGAUCAAACUUUUUUAUGAAGCAAUUUGUAUCCAUUUAAUUUUACAAAUAGAUUAUACGUCCCUUAACGAAUAUAUUAGUGUCUAUUUAACUUACAAAUAAAUUAUAUAUCUAUUUAAAAAUUAAUUUGUAUUUAUUUAUUUUUAAAACGGAGUGUACAUCUAUUUACAAAUCCAUCUGUGUCAGUUUAUAAAAUUUUUGCAAAUAAAUUAUACAUCUAUUUAUAAAUCAGUUUGUGAUGAGUUGCAAAACUUAUUAUUUUCUUUAUAUUAAAUUUUAUAAUUUUGCUAUGAUUUUGAUGUAAAAAAUUAAUUUUUAUUUGAAAUUUGAUUUUGGACAGAUUUUAAGUUAAAAAUGAGAAAAAAAAAACUAAAAGAUACUGUUUUUAGAAUUUUUUUCUAAUUGCAAGGUACUGCUGUAACCCAAGCCAACAAACAGAUUUCAGGAUUAGUGUUUUGCCAGCUGUACAAAAUUCAAAACUGUUUUAAAUAGAUGCAAAUAAAAUCAUAUCAAGAUUAGGAUAAAAGUCAUCAUAGAAAUAGUAGUUUUAUUUUACUUUUUCUAUUAAAUUAUGAAUAAUUAAUUUUUUAUUUAGAAAAAAUCUAUAUAAAGGUUGCUCUAGAAGUAGAAUUUACCAUCUUUUCUCAUCAUCUCCUCUCUUUUUCGGUCCCUUCUUGGCCGAAUUCUUAUUCUUCUUCUUCUUUUAUUUUUUUUUGCAAUUUUAUUAUAACUUUUAUAGGCUAAACUCUCUUAUUCAGUUAAAAGUUAAUCAAAUUGAAAUUCAUCUAAAAUUGUGAGAUUAUGUUCUUAAUUUCUGUUUAUCUUAUUUUUAUUUUCAAUUAAUUUCUAAUUUCUCAUGUUCUUUUAGAAUUCAAAAGGGCUAUUGAAUCUACUCGGAAGACAUCGUAUUGUUAUUUAAUCUAAGUAAGUUUAAUUUGGAUUAAUCCAAGUAAGUUUAAUUGGGUUAAUACAAGUAGCAAUUAGUUUAAUUAAUUAAAUCUACACGUUUAAUGAAGUUAUUAAUUAACUAAAAAUUAAUUUAAGCGUUAUGCGGAUUAAUUUAGAAAGAAUUGGUGAGAUUCGUUUAUUUGAAUACUGUAACCAAUAACUAUCUUUUUAAUCAAUUAUGAACUGCAAAUCUUUUAAUUUUGAUUAUCUUCAGUUGAAUUUUAAUUUGAUUAUUUAUUUCAUCAUUUUAAUUGCGUUAUUUUCUUCUUUUAAGUUUUCUUUUUAAAUUAAUUUCUCCAAUAACGAUUUUUUUUAUUAUUAUUUUUUAUUUUAAACUAUUCUUUUAUCCGGCUUAUCAUCUAAUUUAAAUGAAGUUAAGGUAUAUGUAGAUCAAAACACUAUCUGCAUAUUUUUUUAAAUUAAGUAAAAAGAAAUCAGUUUUAAUUAACAGAUUCAACGCCCGUUUAUAUCCAUUGAAUUUUACAAACGGAUUUUAUACUUAUUUACGAAUCCGUUUACAUCCAUUUAAUUUUACAAACAUAUUAUAUAUCCAUUUAUAAAUUAAAUUGUAGUUAUUUAAUUUUACAAAUGUAUCACUCGAAUACAUUUAUGUCUAAUGCUAAAUAUGUGAAAAAAAAAAUCAAUAUAUCAAUUCUAUAUUUAAUCUUUAUGUUAAUUUAUAUUUUAAUCAAAUUUAUUUAUUUAUUUAAUUUCAAUUUAAUACUUGAUGAGUUGUAAGAUUCACUAUAUUUUUCAUAUUAAAUUCCAUUUUGUUAUAAUUUUGAUAUAAGCAAUUGAUUUUUACUUAAUUUUAAUUUUGGAUAGGUUUUGAGCUGCAAAUGAGAAAAUAAACAAAAAGAUACUGUUUUAGAACUUUUUCUGAUUAUAAGGUACAACUUUACCCAAAAUUAUGACCUAACCUUGAUGUAAUAGCAAAUACAAUCAGAUCAAAAUUAAUAUAAGAAUUAUCAUAGGAGUAUAGUUUUAUUUUACUUUUUCUUUUAAACGGUGAAUAAUUAUAUUUUUAUUUAGGAAAAUCCUAUAUAAAGGCUGGUUUAGAAGUAUAUCUCUCAUCUAUUCUCUUAUCCACACCCUCUUUUUAGUUUCUCUUCAGCCAAGCGCUCCUUCCCCUUCUUCUUUUAUUUUUUACAAUUUUGUUAUAACCCUUAAAGGCUAAACUCCUUCAUUCACUUAAAGGUUAAUCAAGUUGAGAUUUAAUUAAGCUGUGAGAUUUUAUUCUUAAUUUCUGUUCAUCUCAAUUUUUUUUCAAUUAAUUUCUAUUUUUGAGUAGCAUCAUCUCCUUUAAAAAUUUAAGAGGUCUAUUAAAUCGGAAGAUAAUAUAUUAUUAAUUAACCCAAAUAAAUAUAAAAUUAUUUAAUUGUGUUAAUACAAAUAGUAAUUAAUAUAUUCUUUUAUGUUAAAAAACUAAUUGAUUUAGUUGAAAUAUUUUGCUUGCUAUCAUUGAUCAAAUUUAGGUUCCUUUUCUUAAAACUGUUAAUUAAUUAAAUCUAUACGCUUAAUAGAAUUAUUAAUUAACUAGAAAUUAAUUUAAAUACUACGUGAAUUAAUUUAAUUUUAAAGAAUAAUUGGUGAAAUUCACUUAUUUAAAUACUAUAAUUAAAUAAUGGACAUUUGAGUGAAUAUUUUUUUUAAAUUAAUGAAUUCGUCCACGUCAGUCAAUAAAUUUUAAUUUUAAUUUUUAUUCCAUUUAUAUUCAUUUAAAUUAAUGGUUAAAUUUUAAAUUUUAUAAAUUCAUCCUCUAAUUUAACCUUUAAUAUUUAUAAACUUAAACUUAUUAUUAAAAUUUUAUCUCAAUCUUUUGAAUUGUAAUUAAAUUUAUUUAUAAAUUAAUUUUUAAUUAAAAACACAUAAAAAAUAAAUAAUGAAAGACUGGAGAAACCUCAAUUACCUUCCAUCACCCAUAAAUUCUGAAGUUUUAUCGCAUGCACAGCCCUCCUUAUAACUUCCAUUUCAAUCAUUAAGAUUAAGAUUUUUACAAAUUUUAAUCAAUUACGCAUUUAUUUCAACAUAUUUUAAUCGUUUUUUUUAAUUAGUUAAAUUUUCUUGUGAAAUAUUAAUUUUUUUCAGUGAAAUUGUUAGUGGUUUUUUAAUUUAAUAGAAAUUUUAACUUUAAUUUUAAUUUUAAAAAAUUAAAAGAAAGCUAGGUCCAAAACAUCCUAUGUACUGUUUAUGCAGUUUAACCACUUAUCCAUCAUCCUUCUCUAUCGACUUCCCAGAAACCAUAACCCAUCCCCGUUCUACACUGUUAUAAGGUACAGUUAUAAUAAUUUAAUAUUAUAAUAAUAUAAAAGAAUAAAUUUAAUUUGUUAUUAAAUAAUAUUUUUAUAUGAAAAAUUAAUAAAAAAAAUUACAAAAGGUGGUGCAUAUAAACAACUGGUAAUGCAUUUCCUUUCCCAAUUUCCUUUUUUUAUCCUUACCACUUUACCAGCUGGCAGAGAGCCUUCCUUUCCGGAUUCUCUAUUUCCUUUCCUCAUUCCCAAUCUUCGAUCCUUCCCUAAAAACAACUGACGAGAGAUCGAUGAUGAUGAUGAAGAUGCCUUGGAGGAGGAAGAGCAGGAGCUUCCAUCUUCAGCUACAAGGGGCAAUUGGUACCAUUCAAUCUCCAUUCCUAUUCUCAUUUACCAAUUAUUGCCAUUCUUCUACUUCCACACUUGAAGAAGCACUUUUCUUGACAAAUAACUUCAAAUCUGCUUCUUUUACGCACCUUGAUGAUGCCAUUGCUUCCUUCAAUCAUGUAAUUCAUAAGCAUCCUCUGCCUUCUAGGGUUCCAUUUAAUAGAUUUUUAUCUGCCCUUGUGAAAAUGAAACAAUAUCACACUGUCCUUUCCAUGUCCAAAACAAUUGAAUUGCUAGGAAUCUCUCACGAUGUUUAUUCUCUUAGCAUCUUAAUUAAUUGCUUCUGCCACUUACACCUUGUGGAUUUUGGCUUCUCUGUUUUUGGUAAGAUGCUAAAAUUUGGAUUGGAGCCUGACGUUGUCACGUUUAAUACCUUAAUUAAUGGGCUUUCUAUAGAGAGUAAAAUGGACAAAGCAUUGGAAUUUUUCGAUGAUAUGGUUGCACGUGGUUAUCAACCUAAUGUUCGUACUUACAGUGUGAUAAUAAACGUAUUGUGUAAAUUUGGGAAAACAAAUGUGGCUAUUGGGCUACUAAAGGAAAUGGCUGAUAGAGGUUGUGAGCCAGAUGUUGUGACAUACAAUGCAAUCAUUGACACCCUCUGCAAAGAUGAGCUAGUUGGUGAGGCUUUAGAGCUCUUCUCUCAAAUGAGGAAUAAGGGCAUUUCACCUGAUGUCAUCACUUACACUGGUUUAAUUCACGGUGUUUGCAAAUUAGGCCAAAAGAACCAAGCUUUGGCCUUGAUGAAUGAAAUGGUGGAGCAGAACAUAUCACCUGAUGUUUAUACCUUCAGUGUAUUGAUUGACGCUCUUUGUAAGGAUGGAAUGGUUUCAGAGGCUCAAAAUACAUUCAAUAUAAUGAUUCAAAGAGGUGUAGAGCCUAAUGUGGUCACCUACAAUUCCUUAAUUGAUGGUCUUUGCAUUUCAGACCAAUUGAAGGAAGCUUUGGCCUUGUUGAAAGAAAUGGUGGGGAGGAACAUAUCCCCUGAUGUUUUUACCUUCAAUAUAUUGAUCGACACUCUUUGUAAGAAAGGACUGGUUUCAAUUGCACAGAAUAUAAUCAAAAUAAUGAUUCAAAGAGGUGUGGAACCUGAUGUUGUCACUUAUAAUUCAUUGAUGGAUGGAUAUUGUCUGUGCAAGCAAAUUGAUAAGGCUAGAAAGCUAUUUGAUCUGAUGGUGAUCAAUGAAAUAGCUGACAUUUUUAGCUACAACAUUUUGAUCAAUGGAUAUUGUAAGUGCAAAAUGAUAGAUGAUGCAAAGGAAAUUUUUGAUGAAAUGUCUCAUAAAGGUUUAGUUUCUGAUGCUGUUACUUAUCAUACUCUUAUAAAUGGUAUGUUUCAAGCAGGGAGGCCCCAAAAUGCAAAAGAGCUCUUUAAGGAUAUGUGCUCUCAUGGUCAACAACCAAAUAUAGUAACCUUCUCAAUUAUGAUUGAUGGCUUGUGUAGACAGGGGAAUCUCGAUGGGGCACUCACACUAUUGAAAGCAAUGGAGAAAAGUCAGUUGAAGCCUAAUUUUGUGAUCUAUAGCAGUCUGAUCAAUGGUAUGUGCAAAGUUGGGAAGAUUAAUGAUGCCAAGGAACUUUUUUCUGGUCUUUUUAAAAUUGGUUUACAACCUGAUGUUUGUGUAUAUAAUGCAAUUAUGAAAGGACUCUGCCAACAAGGAUUAAUGGAUGAAGCGUAUAAGUUAUUUAAAGACAUGGAAAAGGUAGGAUGUUUACCAAAUAGUUGUUGUUAUAAUAUCAUCAUUCAAGGGUUUCUCAGGCAUGAGGAUUUACCAAAAGCAUCAGAACUAAUCAACGAAAUGGUUGAUAAGGGGUUCUCUGCUGAUGAUGCUACCACAGAAUUGGUAGUACAUUUGUCGCAGAAUAAUGAUCUCAUUCUAAGCAAACUACGAAAUCGUUCUGAGGCUUCUAAAGCUGUGCAAUGAGGGAUCAGCAAACUAAAGUUAUAUUUUGACCAUUCAAUGGUGUCUUGGAGAGAAAUUUGGUAAUUACCUUCUUCAAAUGUAGUAGAUAUGUAAUUUAACUAACUUCAAAUUUCAUUUUUAAUUUCAAUCAGCUGUGAUUCUCUUCCACAAAAUGAAAAUUUCUAACACUGUAAAUUACCUGCUGUGGAAACCAUGAUAUGUGUGUGCCUUUCGCUUGAACUCAGACAUGGACUAGAUCUCUUUGGAUAUAAGAUUGUUGAUGAAUGGAGGUCAUAGAUUUCUAAUGAUCAAGUUGCUGGUAAACCCACCAUCUUCCUUACAAUUUUUUUUUUGGGCUGCUACUACAGCCUUAAUUCGAGAGCUUAGUCCUAAAAAUGAGUUGAGAGCUAAACCUAAUUGAUUUCAUGCUAUAAUGCUUAAGAAUCUUUAUCUAUUUUACUUUUGUGCUCAAUGACCUUUUAAAAUGCUAUCAUUUUUCAGUAAACAUGCUGCAUUAGGACAAUAACUUGGAGAUUUUAUCAUAUAUUUUGAUUUUUACUAGUAAGAAUGCAGGUGUUAAAUCAGUGAACUAGCAGGUGUUAACACCUGCUUUCUGUAUCAUUUUACCAAAGCUACUCAUGCCUGUUUCCGUCCAUUAGAAUUUAACACCUACUAGUUUAUCAUAUACAUGCAUUACUUGUAAUAAGUUUAUGCUCCCAAAAUGAUUCCUAUUUAUUGCUAGUUUAUUACUUGUAGUAAGUUUAUGCUCAAAAUAAUUUCUAUUUAUUGCUCCUUGAGUUAAUACUUAUAACUUGAACUAGAGUUAAUACUUACUCGUUGAGUGCAAGUUUUAACACCUACUUGUUGAGUUUAAGUAUUAAUUUGAGUUUUUGCAACAGGUACAUCUGAGCUUGAGCAUGGUGCAGUAUCUCUUCCACCAGUCCACCGGGUCUUUUCCCGCAUGCCUGAGAUGAAGAUGGAUUAGAUGAGCAAAUCGAGGAUUUUUGUUGAUUACUUGUUGUACACAUUUUGGGUUACCGUUUGUUUUGGCAUUUACUACAAAAAUAUACUUUUAAUUAUACAUUUUUUGUGGUUGUACUAGAUUAUUUAUGUUCAAUUUUAAGUUCAAAAGACUUUUCUUUUUAUUAUAAUUGAAUACAUUAGAUUUGUGGUUGAUUUGUGUUAUAUUAUGCAUUUAAUAGUUUGGGUUUGUGAUAUUUGUAAUUAUUUUGGAUUUGGUUAAAUAAUAUUUACUGUAAGAAAAAAAAAUCUUUUCACUAUUGUUAAAACAUGUAAAUUUAUAAAAAAAUUAUUAAAAUAAUAUAAUAUUUUAAUACAGGAUUUACUAUUAAAAUUUAUUUUUUUUUAAAAAAAAAUUUAACUCAUUAAAAAUUAUUUUUAUAUAAUUUUAAUUUUAUAAAUAGAUUAAUAACAAAGUAAGAUAAAUAAAAAAAAUUUAUAACUUAAUAAUAAAAAUAGUAUUAUAAAAAUAAAUUUUAAGUGGAGAUUUGAAUUUGAAAUCUUAAAAAUGAAAAGUAAAUUUUUUGAAUUGAAAAAUAAUAUAGAAGAUGAGAGAUUAAAUAAUAAAAAUUUCUUUGAUAAAUAAAUUAAAUAAUUUAAAACUAUAAAAUAUAAUUAUAAUUUAAUUAAAUAAUUUUGAAAUAAGGUCGAAUUGGUAAAUUUUUAAAAUAUAUAAAAAUUUAAUAAUAAUUUUUCAUAUUUUAAAAAAAAUUAUCUAUACACCUUUAAAAAAUUUAAAAAUUUUCAGAAGGCUUAGGAGUCUGUCAAUGUGCACUGAUAUAUAUAUAUAUAUAUGUAUAUCUUGCUAUUCGUUUGACACCAAACCCUUAAAUAAAGGUAAUAUAGAAAUUUAAGAAUUUAUUUAUUUCAUAAAAAAUAUUACACGUAUAGUUUUAAUAAUAAUAAAAAAAACAACUAAUUUAGGGGUUAAGUGUCACUUUAUAAUUUUUGUUUUUUUAUUUUUUUAAAAAUUAAUUGUAUAAAAAUAAGUAUAAAUUUUUUAUAUAAUAAUAAGAAAUAAUAUAAUUUUUUAAAAUAUGAUAUUUAAUAGUAAAAUACUAUUAUUUUAAAAUAAUAAAUUUUUAAAUUUUAUUAAAAAAUCCACUGAUUAUCCAUAUAUAUAAAUUGAAUUCUAAUUACUCUCUCUACUAUACAAUUUUCUUUCUGAGUUUCUCACUCCCAAAUCUUUUAUUAACUUAGAAAAAUUUGAUCAAUAAUAUCAAGGUGGGAGCUUUUAACAGGAAAAUGAAAUCUCUUUUUAAGAUUUUAGAUCAACGUUAUACAAUUAAGUCAUAUUUUUCCAAUAAAUUAUUCUCCAAUUUGACUGAUUAGAAAACUAAAAUUUCACAAAUUCAAAGAGACUAUGUAGCCAUAUACGUGAAUGUUGAGAGCGAGAGAUAUCAAAUUUCAGUACUGAAUCUAAAGUUUCCAGCAUUACAAUAACUGAUUAAACAGUUUUAGAACAAUGAUUUCGACUCCAAGAUUGAUGACCAAUCAUAUUUGCUUGCACUACUGACAAAUUUAAUGAACUACUCAAAUUUGUAGGGAUUGUCAUAUGAAAUUUUAGAUAGUUUUAAAUAAUUCUUUUUUAUAUGUUUAAAUUACUAAUAAGUCCUUAUAUUUUAUUGAAAUUAAUCAUUCAAUCUCUAUUUCUAAAUUAUUCAAUUAAAAUAUUUUAAAUUUUAUAAACUCAAAUUCUUUAAUAUUUUUAUCGAAUAAAAUAUUAGUAAAUAUAUUUUUAGCUUUAAUUAGAAAAAAUUAAAUUAUAUAUAAUAUAAAAUUUUAUUUUAACCGAAUAACAAAAUUGAAAAAUUAAACGGUCAAUUUUGACAAAAUGUAAAAAUUAAAUAAUAAUCCACUCUUUUAUAUUUUAAAGUAAUAUUUUUAUAUUAUAAAAAUUAAAUAAUAAAAUAUUUAAUAAUUACAAUUAAUAAAAUUACUAAGUAAUAUAUAUUUUAAAAUUUAAAGGAUUUUUUAUUUUAUUUUUUAAAAUCAAAAAAUCAAUUAAUAAAUUUUUUAUAUUAAAUAAUAAUUUUUCAUAAUAAUAAAAUAAAAAUAUAUUUUAUAAAUUAAUUAAAUAAAUAUUUAUUUAAUAAAAUGAAUUUGACUGAUGAAAUAAAAUUUUAAAAUUUUUAACGAUAAUUUAAUAAAAAUUAUAUAUAAAAAAAAGAAAUCGCAAUAAUAAUAAAGAUAUUCUUAACUUUUCUCGUUAAUGGCACGUAUAUAACUAUUAAUAAUGUAAGUUAUUAAAGUGAAAAUACAUAUUUUCUCCAAAUGUCAUAUAGCAAAAAGAAGAAAUGAAAUAUCACUUAAAAUUAUUAUAAAUUAAUAAAUAAUAUAACUUAUAAAUUAUAUAAAUUUACUGUGAGCAGAAAUUGACCUUCUCAUUUUUAUUGAAAAUGUUAUGUAUUUAAUUAUUAUUAAUAUUUAAUUAUUUUUAAUUAUUAUCAUAUUUUAAAUUUAUUAUAUUAGAAAGUAAUAAUUUUUUAUUUAAAUUAUAAUAAUAAAUUUUAUUGUUAUUAAAAUUUUUUUAUCACUAUAUUAAUUGUUGUUAAUAAAAAAUAAAUUUAUCGAUAUUAUUAUUAUUUUAACAAUCAAUUAUAACGAGUAAUGCAUUUCCUUUACCAGCAGGCAGAGAGCCUUCCCUUUCCGUUUCUCUAUUUCCUUUCCUCAUUCCCAAUCUCCGAUCCAUCCCUAAAAACAACUGACGAGAGAUCCAUGAUGAUGAUGAUGAAGAUGCCUUGGAGGAGGAAGAGCAGGAGCUUCCAUCUUCAGCUACAAGGGGCGAUUGGUACCAUUCAAUCUCCAUUCCUAUUCUUAUUUACCAAUUAUUGCCAUUCUUCUACUUCCACACUUGAAGAUGCACGCUUCUUGACAAAUAACUUCAAAUCUGCUUCUUUUACCCGCCUUGAUGAUGCCAUUGCUUCCUUCAAUCAUGUAAUUCAUAAGCAUCCUCUGCCUUCUAGGGUUCCAUUUAAUAGAUUCUUAUCUGCCCUUGUGAAAAUGAAACAAUAUCACACUGUCCUUUCCAUGUCCAAAACAAUUGAAUUGCUAGGAAUCUCUCACGAUGUUUAUUCUAUUAACAUCUUAAUUAAUUGCUUCUGCCGUUUACAUCUUGUGGAUUUUGGCUUCUCUGUUUUCGGGAAGAUGUUCUAAUUCGGAUUGGAGCCUACCACUGUGACAUUUACUACAUUAAUUAAUGGGCUUUGUAUGGAGAGUAAAAUGGAUAAAACAGUGGAAUUUUUCGAUGAUAUGGGUGCACGUGGUUAUCAACCUGAUGUUUGUACUUUCAAUGUGAUAGUAAACGGAAUGUGUAAAUUUGGAAAAACAAAUGUGGCUAUUGGGCUACUAAAGGGAAUGGCUGAUAGAGGUUGUGAGCCAGAUGUUGUGACAUACGGAGCAAUCAUUGACGCCCUUUGCAAGGAUGAGCUAGUUGGUGAGGCUUUAGAGCUCUUCUCUCAAAUGAGGAAUAAGGGCAUUUCACCUAAUGUCAUCACUUACAAUAGUUUAAUUCACGGUGUUUGCAAAUUAGGCCAAAAGAACCAAGCUUUGGCCUUGAUGAAUGAAAUGGUGGAGCAAAACAUAUCACCUAAUGUUUAUACCUUCAGUGUAUUGAUUGACGCUCUUUGUAAGGAUGGAAUGGUUGCAGAGGCUCAAAAUACAUUCAAUGUAAUGAUUCAAAGAGGUGUAGAGCCUGAUGUGGUCACCUACAAUUCCUUAAUUGAUGGUCUUUGCAUUUCAGACCAAUUCAAGGAAGCUUUGGCCUUGUUGAAAGAAAUGGUGGGGAGGAACAUAUCCCCUAGUGUUUUUACCUUCAAUAUAUUGAUCGACACUCUUUGUAAGAAAGGACUGGUUUCAAAUGCACAGAAAAUAAUCAAGAUAAUGAUUCAAAGAGGUGUGGAACCUGAUGUUGUCACUUAUAAUUCAUUGAUGGAUGGAUAUUGUCUGUGCAAGCAAAUUGAUAAGGCUAGAAAGGUAUUUGAUCUGAUGGUGACCAAUGAAAUAGCUGACAUUUUAGGCUACAACAUUUUGAUCAAUGGAUAUUGUAAGUGCAAAAUGAUAGAUGAUGCAAAGGAGCUUUUUGUUGAAAUGUCUCAUAAAGGUUUAGUUCCUAAUGCUGUUACUUAUUCUACUCUUAUAAAUGGUAUGUUUCAAGCAGGGAGGCCCCAAACUGCACAGGAGCUCUUUAAGAAUAUGUGCUCUCAUGGUCAACAGCCAAAUAUAGUAACCUUCUCAAUUAUGAUUGAUGGCUUGUGUAGACAGGGGAAUCUCGAUGAGGCACUCACACUAUUGAAAGAAAUGGAGAAAAGUCAGUUGAAGCCUAAUUUUGUGAUCUAUAGCAGUCUGAUCAAUGGUAUGUGCAAAGUUGGGAAGAUUAAUGAUGCCAAGGAACUGUUUUCUAGUCUUUUUGAAAUUGGUUUACAGCCUGAUGUUUGUGUAUAUAAUGCAAUUAUGAAAGGACUCUGCCAACAAGGAUUAAUGGAUGAAGCAUAUAAGUUAUUUAAAGACAUGGAAAAGGUAGGAUGUUUACCAAAUAAUUGUUGUUAUAAUAUCAUCAUUCAAGGGUUUCUCAAGCAUGAGGAUUUACCAAAAGCAUCAGAACUAAUCAACGAAAUGGUUGAUAAGGGGUUCUCUACCGAUGAUGCUACCACAGAAUUGGUAGUACAUUUAUCGCAGAAUAAUAAUCUUAUUCUGAGGCUUUUAAAGGUGCGCAAUGAGGGAUCAGCAAACUAAAGUUGUUAUAUCUUGACCAUUCAAGUGUAUCUUGGACUGCAACUUGGUAAUUACCUUUUUCAAAUAUAAUAGAUAUGUAAUUUAACUAACUUCCUCAAAUAUCAUUUUUAAUUUCAAUAAGAUGUGAUUCUCUUCCACAAAACGAAAAUUUCUAACACUGCAAAUUACCUGUGGUGGAAACCAUGAUAUGUGUGUGCCUUUCGCUUGAAUUCAGACAUGGACUAGAUCUCUUUGAUAUGAGAUUGUUGAUGAAUGGAGGUCAUGGAUUUCUAAUCAUCAAGUUGCUGGUAAACCCACCAUCUCCAUUACAAUUUUUUUUUGGCUGCUACUACAGCCUUUACUCGAGAGCUCAGUCCUAAAAUUGAGUUGAGAACUAAAACUAAUUGGUUCCAUACUACAAUGCCUAAGAAUCUUUAUCUAUUUUUACUUUUGUGCUCAAUGACCUUUCAAAAUGCUAUCAUUUCUCUUGUAGGUACUUGCAAGGAUAUGACUACAACUUCACCUUUCUAACCAUAAAGGUAUAAACAAUUCAUUUUUGCUUAGUUAUUAUAAUUUUUAAUAGUAAUGAGAUUAAUGAUUAUAGACCAGUGUGCUUUAAUUGAGAAUUGAUUUAACAAUUAUACUACACUAUAAAUGCAGGGCGCAGGAUAUACAGUCUUGUCACUAAUGGAUAUAUUUUAGUGUUGGACCACUAUUUGAGUUAUUUAUAUGGUGCAUUUUGCGAUACAUUUGUGUGGUGUUAUGAAUGUGAAACACAUUGUUUCUUACUGUGUGGAUAUAUAAUGAGACAUUUUAUGUUUUUACCACUUUCUAAACCUUGUAAUAUACUUUUUCUUUUUGCUUGAUGCAUCUUUGUUGAAGUUUUUGUGAUUCUGCAUCCAUGGGAAAUGGUUUGUUAGAGAAGGUGGGUUUGACAGGGUACAUAUUGAGAGGUAGGAAACCGAUUGCAAAAUGAUUCAGAACCCAAGAAUCUAUCAGUUGUUGUUUACUUUACAAAAUUGAAUAAACUAUGGGAUAAACUUGGUGCUUUAAAGCAUCAUCUAACUAUUACACAUUAGAUCUUUCUUGUGGUGCAGUAGUGUCAAUACAAAGAAACUUCAUUGAUUAAAUGGAAUACUCUUGUUGCAUCUCUUCCCUUAGAUCUUUCUUCUCUCCUUUUAAUCUUAUCAGAUUUGCUGUGGGGAAUGAGAUGAAAAUAAAAUCUUGGAAUGAUAGACGAUCGGUUGGUAAUGUUGCUCUCAAAUUCUCCUUUAGCAGACUAUUAAAUUUAGCAGCUAACCUAGAUGUGUUGAUGUUAAAUAUUUUUUUAAAGGGUAGUUUUAGAAAAAAAUAAAAUCAAUUUUGUAAACAAAUUUUUAAAAAUAUCCAUUUCCAUAUAAAUUUAAUUAAAAUAUAAAUUUAUAAUUUAUUUAAUUAAUUUAUAAUAUAAUAUUUUAAUUUACAUAUAAAAUCUACAUGUUCACGUCUAUUUUAAUGGAUUAAAAAAACUAUACAAAUAUACAUUAUUUAAAAUAUUUUAAUUUGAUUUGUUCGAUUAAUUUACUAUUUUAAUUUAGUUUAUGUUCUAUUAACAAAUAUAAUAUUAAAAUUUUAAUAGAUUGUAGAAGAACUCAUAACUCAUUAAACAAGCAGUUCAUCUACUCAUAAGGACAUACCUGUGGAUAGAAAAGAGCAAUGCCAGUGCUGCAACAGUCUUCUCCCCACCAGACAACUAUUCCAUAUCACGGAAACGCUUUGUUGGGGGCAUAGCAGUGUAUUUGAUGCCAUGUAAGAAGGGGUCAUCCUCAUUUUCUAAGUUCAGAUAUGCCGUACCACCAAGUGGAUGCGUGUUACUCUUUGUCAGUUGUUUAUAUAUCUUGUCAAUGUUAUUUGAUAUGUGGUUAAAAGCUUCCAUAAACAACUCGUAUCUGCAAAAACCAAAAUGAAGUCAUAGCAUCAAUGAUAAAACAACAUUACCAGUUGAUUUUGUUAUUCUGACCUACAAGACAAUGAACAAAGAUAAAUCUGCACAACAGGUGGAUGCAGUGGCAAAAUAUACAUAUAUAAUAUGUAUACAUGCAUAUUAAUACAUCAGAACGUGUGACAUGCAUCUAAAUUAAAUGUUACAGGUGUAUACUUGUCUUCUUAGUGAAGUACACGAAUCAAGCAAGUGAGAACCAAAUGAUCUACUAAAGAUUUCUUAAUUAUCUAAAUGAAGAUUCUAUGCCCGUUAGCCAAUUCUCUUUGCUUACAUCCAUUGACCGAGUUUCUAGAUUCUCAAAAGCCCAAAAUCUCACUCUCCUAACUAAUUGGCCAAGAAUUAGCCGAAGGGAUUGCAUCCCAGAGCUUCUUAAACUUAACACUUUAUUCUACAUUCUCCACAAGCAUUUGAACUAUUCCAAGGAGUUUUAGCCCGAUCACAUAAAGAAGGAAUUUAUCCCAGCAAAGUACUCGUUUCAUCAAGUUACCUAGACAAUUUUCUUUUGGGCCAAGAAUCACCCCAAUAGGAGAGAGAGAGAGAGAGAGAGAGAGAACUUUCUGGGCAAGAAAAACAAGAACAAGAUCAAUAAACUCCUCUCUACUCUCUGCAGUAAAUGCACCGAAAGAUAUCUGGCCCAUGGUGAUGACAAUAAUAACAAUAAUGAUGGUCACGACAAUGGGAAAAGAGACAGAGAUAGAGAGUGAGAGAUAGACAAAAAGCACAUGAUGACCCAUAUAAUUCACCAAUUCCAUAAUGUUGAAACACAGUUAUUCUUUUGUUUUUGUGCUGAAAAGAUCAAAAUACACAAGCACACAGUUAUAUAUUUUCCAACUUGUAAGUGAUCUUUCAUUUUCUAGGAGAACAAAAUAGCUCCUUAAAAAGAAACAGCAUCAAUGAUGCCAAAUGGAUAGCAAUGAGGAUUCAUGGAUGCUAUGAGGUUAGGGUGGAGGGGGAAGAGGGGGAGGAGGAGGCAAGUGUUAUGUACAUCUUACUCCCCCAGUAUUAGUCAAUCAGAAAAAUAGUUGCAUUUUUUUUAAUAAUAUUUUCCUUCAUUAAUAUUUAUCCAGUAACUUGUUGCAGAACAGAAUGAUAUUAACUACUACCUUCUCUGCUUAACUGAAUUGUAAGCAUCAGCUACUUGCUUCUCCUCCUUUCUGGCUGCUUCAAAUUCUUCGGUCGCUGCUCUUUCCUUCUCUAGCAAAGCCUCAUACUGAUCCAGAGCCUUCAAAUUUGGCGCUGUUUUUUCAAUUUCUGACAUUAUAGCAUCCAUUUUUUGCUUAAAAUCUGCCUCGAUUUUUUCUCGGUCAGAAGGUCUCCUGUCCUGAGUAAGAGAUCUAUUCAGCUCACUAAAAUCAAAAUAUGGGCCAGGGAUCUCAGAGCCAAUUUCCAUUGGGUCUGAAAUAGUAGGAAGGCUUAUGUGUUCUAAUUCACACUUCUCCACAAUAUCCUGCUUCCGAGACAAUAGUUGCUCAAUCUGUCCCUCCUGUAAAACAAAGGAAAAAAAAGUGUCAGCAUUAAUUCAGUAGGUUAUAAUUUAGUUGUAUUUUCUUCCUUGCCACCCAUGUAGAAACUUGCACCAAGGAGAUUUCAGAAAAGAAAGAAACCACUUUGAGACCUUAGAGUUUAUUUGACGGUUAAGUUUUGAUAUGCUUGUUGCAGCUGCAGAAGCUUGCUUCUUCCAUUCAAGCAUCUCCUUCUCUCACUCCUCUGACUUGGAUUUCAACUCUAUAGAAGGAAAAGUUAUCUACUUAAAUAAGAGGACAAAAAUGAACAAAAAUAACAUUGAACAUUCCGAGACAUCCCAAGAUACCAGUGCGAAAUCUCAGUCUCUCACUCUCACUGAUCUGGGAAUAAUUUUACAUGAUUCUCAUUUAUCACAAGACUCAACCAGAAGCUAUCAUGUACAAUCAAAUUACUCUGAUUUGAUUGAAUAAAACUAUGCUGAAACCCAAAAGAAAAAAAGAGAGAGGGAAAGGAUAAUCAAAUUUCUUAUUUAACACCCAUGGGUUCUUUUCAGAAUAGAUGUUUCUUCUUUUCAACUUUAAGUAAAAUGAAUCAAGUUUCUAACACAAUUUCAAAGAAGUCGGAGUUGGGUAGAUAAUCCUUUUUCUUCUUUCUAUUUUCCACAUGCCCUUCUAGCUAAAACUGGACAAAAAAUUUUACACUUUUACCAUUAAUAUAGCUUGUAUAUUCACCAAUGUUUCUUAGAAAUAGCUUAUGAUUAGGGAAAAAAAAAAGAAAUUAAAGGAUAUCUAAGAUACUCAUAAAAAUAUAUAGAACAAUCUUAGGGACCCUUUUGUUUCACAUUAAAAAAUGCAUUUGGAAAAAUCACGAUAUUGGUCAUGACUAUUGAUGCAUUCUUUUAAAAAAUAUUAUGCAUCUUUUAUGUAACAAUAGAGAAUUUGUUUUCUGUUGCUUCCGACUGCUUGUAAUGAAUUAUCCCUUGUCUCCUUGAGCAUUUAAUGCAUAUUUUUUAUUUUGACAUGCUAACACUAUGCUUAUUGAUUCCAAAUCAUGCAGAAAUUAUUGAGAAUAUCUAUACAAGUUACCAACCAUAAUGUUCUAAAAUUCUUUCCCAGUCUUGAUCCUUGUGCAUUCUAAAGAACAACUUGGUUCACAAACUCUAGUCAACUGAGGAAUCCAAAUAUAUAAUGUUGAUGCCAUUAAAUUAUUAGAAAUUUAUCAUACAACCAUAGAGCACACAGGGUGAACUUUUUAGCUCAUUGUUCUAUGUCGAAUUACUUUUUACCAAAUAUGCAAAGUGUGCAUUGCUUAAUCAGAAUAACUAAUUUAUGCAAAUUAUCGAAAUUCAUUUAAAAUUCAAAAUGGGCCUGAAUGUUAGCCACAGACCAGGAAGUUAAAAAAAAUGAAGCACCAAAUCGUACCUCGCACUUCUUCCUUCCAUUUGUUUAUGUCACCGGCAGCUUUCUCUGUUGCUAACUUGACUUCAGCCUCUUUAUUUUGAAUUUGUUUUAGUUCAUUUUCUAAAGCACUGAUAGAGCUUUCCAAUUUCUUAAUUCGUGAGUCCAUGUCUCGCUUUUGCUCGUACUCCAACCUGAAAAUAAAAGAAAAGGAGGUGGAAAGAACCAUUAUAUACAGAAAAAAAUGGUAAAGUAGCAUGAAGGCAUUCUUUCAAGUUCUAUAAAUAAGAUAGGGUCAAUCUCAAAGGUAGAAUAAUGCAUCAAGUUUUCAGCAUCAUUUUACCAAUAUCACAUGGCAAAAAUAAAAUGUUAAGAGAAAUGUCCUCAUACAUUCGGUUAAUCCAGUAAAAUUUCCUGAAGAAUCAUGUGACAUAUUGGUAUAUGGUAUGAGAACAAGAACAGUGUAGAGCCUCCACUUUAAGCACAAGAAAUUAAGACUUGAAAAAGAGAACCAUGCACCCUUAGAUUCUAAAAUAUACAUAUCAUGCUCCAGUGCUUGCACAUAGUAACUGAAAUGAACACCUGAGCAGUAGUAAAAGCUGCUGGAAAGAACAACUUGUAGCAUUUAGAAAGAACAUGUCCAAAAGAAGUAAGAUCACAGAAAUGGGAUUAAGAGGAUAAGAUCCAUUUCCCACAGGCUACAUAAUUUAAUAGGUGUUGUCAUUAUAUUUGGUUCAAUUUCAGUUCUUACAAUUUUGUAGAAUUCAAUUGACUUCCAUGUUUUUUGUGUUUAGUUUGAAUAGAAAUUAGAAUUUAAUUCUAGGAAUUCAAUUCCAUGGAACUAGUUAUAAUUAAAACCAAAUCCUAUCAAAUUUUUAUGGAAUUUGAAAUGAAUUCUGCAAAACUUACAUAACAAUAUUGUUUGGACUAAAAUGCGCAUAUCAGACAAUUUCCUCACCAUCAUGGCAUCAUCCAUCUUCUUAUAUUUAAUUAAACUCUAUAGGUUAAAGAAGAUAAAAACCGUAAUUUAGCUUUCUAUUUAUACUAUUAUCUAGACCACUAUAUAAAAUAUUUUACUCUCCUAAUUCAUAAUAUUUAAGCUUAUUAUGCUCUUAGUAAUAACACUAUUUAUUUUAUGAAUAAAUCUCCAAGACCUGUAAAUUUAUUAAUAUAUUGUUAAUAAGUAUCUAUGUUUGUUAAUUGUUAUAAAUUUAUUACAUAUAAAACUUUUUGAUAUGGUAAUUAUUAAAAUUUUUAAUGUUACCCUUGUGGGUACUUUAGGAAAUAAAAUAAAAUGAAUUUCAAUUAUAAAAUUAUACCAAACAUGACUUAUGUGGAAUUCAAUUGAAUUCUGCAUUUUAAGUUGUAGCAUACCAAAUGAUGGAAUUUAUUUCAAAUGAAUUAUAUUUAGAAUUUAAUUGAAUUCCACAUAAUCACGAAGAAUGGAAUUAAACCAAACUUUAUGUUAGUUGUGUGCUAUUGAAUUAUACCUCAUAUUUGUUAUAUAAAUUUUUGGUUCACUAAGGCCACCCGCAAAAGAGAGGAGCACCUAAGAAUGUUGGUAGUCUUUGGUUUUUUUUUUUAUUAUGGGGGUUGAUUAUGUAAACCCCAUUUGUAUUAGAAAUCCUGAGUGCACAAGAAUUAGGUUAUUAUAAAUAGCACUGUAUAAUUUCUCCUUAGAUUUGAAAAAGCAUAUGGUUAUUGGUGGACCAUGGUUGCAGUCACACUAGCAAAACCACAUAAAUUCUUGUGUUUGCUUCUUUUCUCUUGCUUAUGUUCCAAUGUGUGUGUCUGUAGGUAAUUUUCACAAAACAAGUAAUAUCUGAAACACUAGAAGUAAAUUAAAACGUGUGAAUAGAUGUUAACAUUUCAUUGCCUGUCUUCAUAGCUACAGUGCUCAUAGUGUACACCAAGGAACAAAUGCCUAAGCAAAUGGUUUCAUCUAAUACAUUUUUAAUCAUAUAAGAAGUGCUAAGCUCAUAACGCACAAUCUGCCUCAUCUAAACCAUCAUAUUUGCUGACAAAUGCCCAAAAGAAAAUAUCUCCAAGAAGAAACUAACAGAAGACAACUGGGUGCACAACUCGUUUAAUCUCAACGUGUAUAAGUGGGGAUCCCUAAAAUCUUAAGAUGGCAUCUGCAAUUCCAAGAUUUUUCGUUCCAGUUCAUGAAAGAAUCCAAAAACACCUUUAUCCAUGACCUGAUCUGAAUCUUAGAACCUUACCCUUCAUAGGACAGAGAUAAAUAGAUGACACAUGGAUAAAAUUCCCGGAGCAGCUUAAAACUAAGCAAAUCAUUUCACAUACAAUGCUAUUAAAAUAACAUAUCAAAAUAAAAAGUUUUAAAUUUUUUUAGUAAGAGUACAGAUUUGUGAAUAAUAUUUUUUUAUUAUAUUAAAAUCAAAUUAUAAAUAAAAUAAUUAAUAAUAAAUAUUAUACUUGUUAAAAAAUUAGUUAUACCUUUCAAAUUAUAAAUGUUUAAAUAUAAUUUAUUAUUGAAUAUCUAUAAUUUUACGUAGAAUAAAAAUAUAAAAUUAUUUAAAAUUUAUUCGUAUUUUUCAAAUUAUAAAUUACUAAGUAUAAUUUAUUACUGAAAAUUACUAAUUUUAAAUAAAAUAAAAAUAUAUUAUUAUUAUUAUUAUUAAUUUUGAAAUUCAUAUUGUAUUAGGAUAAAGUUUUGUUUAAUAAUAAUUUAUAUAUAAUUGGACUAUAAUAAUUUUUUUUUUUUUUAAAAAUAUAUGUUAAUGAUAAUUUUAUUAAAUGACAGAUAUUAGCAAAUAAAAAGUUGAAUAUUUCAAUUGUAAUAAAAAAAUAAACUAAAAUGAUAUAUUUUCUUAAUUUUAUUUAUUAUAAUUUUUUUAGAUAACUUUGAUUAAAUAUAUUCAUAUAAUAAUGUGAUAUUAAGAUAAUAGGAGCCCAAAUUUAAUUGCCUAUUUGCAAUAAUAAUAAUAGUAAUAAUAUAUUAUAUAAAAAAUUAAUAAAGAGAUAAAAUAAAAAUAACAAUAAAAUAUUGUUUAAUUUGUGAAAGUGUGAAAUAUGGUUGUAGAGAAAUAGAGUGGUUUACUUGAGUUUUUGGAAUCAGAGCAUUUAUAUUUUUUGGAAGGCAAACUCAAAGCGACUAUAAAUUCUACUAGAGUUUCUUAUGUGCCACUUCUGAUUAGAUUCUGAUUAUCUGAUUAGAUUCUGAUUAGAUUGAUAGAAAAAGGAGAAAUAGUUAGAUUUCAGGAGAUAGUUUGUUCAGAAAUUAUGAAAACAAUCGGUUACAAAAUUUUACAGUCGCUUUUAUCUAAAUGUCUAAAACAUUUUAGAGCUACUCAUAGACAUAUUUCUCUAUGUUACAAAAUUUCAGUAUCAUACAAUACAUUAUUAAGGAAUAUACUACUUUAAUGGUUCAAGCAAAAUAGUGGGCAACGUGAGGACUAAACCAAAUUUCUAAUAUUUUAAUGUUUAGAACUAUAUUUGAAACUAAAUUUCAGUACAGUUCUCAAUUUCAGUACAACCUCAAUUUGAUUUCAGUUCUUUUUUUGUUUCACUUUAAUUUUAGUUUUAUUUCAGUUUAAAUUUUAAUUGUUCACUUUUUCAUCGUUCACCACGACAAUUUAUUAAAAUGCAAACCGUACCUGUCAUGCCGGUAGCCAUAUCUUUUCCAACCGGAGUACGCCACGCGUCAGACCACCAAGGGAACCUCAGUGACACCAUCGACCAUUUCAGAGUUGCUAUGGAGCCAAUCGAUUCGACAAGCGAGGAAUUCAUGGCCAAGGCUCCCAUUCUUGACCCGAAGACACAAAAUCACAGAUGCUCCUCACCUAAGAUUUGCAUUGGUUGCAACCUCCACCCCUGUUCCAGAUUUUUCAUAGAUCAAUUUUGGUUUAUUGGGGUUUGAUCCUUGAUGAAAUUUUUGGUUUAUUGGGGUUUGAUCCUUGAUGAAAUUUCUAUUCCUCUAGGUUGUUUAGAUGUUCCAUUGAUUGAUUCAGUUGAGAUGCUUGUGUUUGGAUGUUACAUAGUUUCAACCAAU